CCUACGGGGGACAGCAGUGGGGAAUAUUGGGCAAUGGGCGCAAGCCUGAACCAGCAAUGCCGCGUGAAGGAAGAAGGCUUUCUGGAUGUAAACUUCUUUGACAGGGGAAGAGCAGCACACGGUACCCUGAAGACAAGCCACGGCUAACUACGUGCCAGCAGCCGCGGUAAUACGUAGGUGGCAAGCGGUGUCCGGAUUUACUGGGGGUAAAGGGCGUGUAGCCGGGAAGGCAAGUCAGAUGUGAAAUCUGGAGUCUCAACCUCCAAAUUGCAUUUGAAACUGUUUGUCUUGAGUGCGGGAGAGGCAGACGGAAUGCGUGGUGUAGCGGUGAAAUGCGUAGAUAUAAGGAGGAACACCAGUGGCGAAGGCGGUCUGCUGGACAGCAACUGACGGUGAGGCGCGAAAGCGUGGGGAGCAAACAGGAUUAGAUACCCGAGUAGUU
This 442-nucleotide ribosomal RNA is filed under the name uncultured bacterium. Its description in RNAcentral is "partial 16S ribosomal RNA". It matches the Rfam family "Bacterial small subunit ribosomal RNA", at positions 338 to 795 of the family's 1533-position model. The record is from RNAcentral.